UGUUUGUCUUCUGUGUCUCUUUUUAUUCUUGAUAGAUUUCCCAGCCUCACUGAUGCUAAUCUCCUUGUCCAGGAAUCAGCAAAGAGUAAUUAGCCUCUGUGAUAAUGAUCUAUCUGUUGCAAGAUCAUGCCCUUCCAUCACACACCAUCUCGCAUGUUUUCUAACUAAGCACAGGAGCUGCUGUGGAGAAUGAGCACAGCCCUCGCAUGAUGUUAGGCAUCAGCUGCCCAAGCUCAGCAUGGAAGUGAUUCCCACUGCUGGUACCGGGCUCGGAGCCUCCCUGUCCAAGCUGGGCCUCGGCUGCCAUUACCACAGAGGCAGGGGGAGUUUCCUGAUGGGCAGAACCUGGCAACGGCAGAAAAAGAAAUCCAAACUUCCUUUGAUGAAAGAGAGCUCUGGAAUGGGUGUCUGUAGUUCGCCAGGAGAUAAGGCAAAGCAGAGAAGAGAACAAAUACAACAAUAAGAGCAACGUAAGUGGUGAGUUAACCUAGAAAACCGGAAGACCAUGAAUGUGUUGUUUGCCUGUGCUUAUGCUACAGUCUUUGAAACCACUGAAGAUAUGUGAAAUCUAUGAAAGCUAUGUAAAAGAAAAGUUGUAAUUUUUGGCUCAUCCCAGAAACCAUCAUUUCAAGAGACAGUAGAAUUAGCUUCUGUGUAUACUCCUUAUUUCACUUGUGUCAUGGAGAACUUAAAAUAUAAUGGAAAUGGGGAUUUUUAAGUUGCCAGGGGUACAUUUGCAGCUGCUAGUGUGCUGGCUGGUAACAUAUAGAGAGGAGCAGGGAAAAAAAUCCCAGCCUUCAGCCUGCAGAGCUCCUGAGGCAGAUGCUAACCCCAUGUGGGUGUUGCCAGCUGGCAGUGCAGGAGAGAAGCCCUUCCCUGCUUCAUGAGGAUCCCGCCUGCUUCCCCAGACAGCCUCAAGGAACAGCAAGGCUCCUCAGCACUGAUAGCUAGACCAUCCUCCUCUGUUCCUUACCUGUAAAAUAAAUUCAGAGUAGCGCUUGCA
RNAcentral lists this long non-coding RNA (1003 nucleotides) under Anser brachyrhynchus (Pink-footed goose). RNAcentral's name for it is "lncRNA (ENSABRG00000014921.1)". The record is from RNAcentral. Lineage: Eukaryota; Metazoa; Chordata; Aves; Anseriformes; Anatidae.